This 218-nucleotide unclassified non-coding RNA is filed under the name soil metagenome. RNAcentral describes it as "partial contains 5.8S ribosomal RNA, internal transcribed spacer 2, and large subunit ribosomal RNA". The record is from RNAcentral.
AACCUUAUGGACCUGCGGGCGUAUACCUGCGGAAGGAUCAUUACAAGUGACCCCGGUCUAACCACCGGGAUGUUCAUAACCCUUCGUUGUCCGACUCUGUUGCCUCCGGGGCGACCCUGCCUUCGGGCGGGGGCUCCGGGUGGACACUUCAAACUCUUGCGUAACUUUGCAGUCUGAGUAAACUUAAUUAAUAAAUUAAAACUUUUAACAAUGGAUCU